UUCCCAGCAGAAAACUCUACAUCAGAUCAACGGAAAGAUCGUACACGUCCGUCACUAUGAGUAACAUAGCUCGAAAAAUAACUAUUUUUAAAUGAAAAUAAUAUAAUAAGAACGAUUUGCAUGAGUGUAGUUGGGAUUUCUAGUGACAUUAUACUGCCCGUCACAGUAGUAUUUUGCUAGUUUUUAGGUUUCUACGCGAUGAUGACCCAUAAAGAAACCUUAACGUUUCCCGAUGGCCAUUUUACAAUGAUUUACAAUGGUGAUUUCUUCAUGUUGCUGUGAGUGACAAUGUUGAAGUCGCCUGUCAUACCUAUAUGACGAAGCUCAACGGAUAUCGAAAGCGACCAUGGGCAGUUUGAUAAGCGGUCAGUUACCAAUUGGUUUCAUCUUGAUGAUAGUCGUUGCCGUUUAUGCUUUAAUGUUCAGUACGUGUACGGUACACGGUUUGACAGGUAAGCGUCCAAACAGGCGUAUUUCGAAGUGGAUCCGAACAGCUCCGAGAUGACGGCGAAGGUAACGUCAAAUAGCGGCGUCUUUCCGCUAACUGUGCAAUGAUCACUUUAAAAUGAACCAAACGGUAUAAGUAGUGGUGCAUGUAUGUUCGGCCCAAUGCAUUUUCUAUUGAAAUGCACAUUUAUUUUGCCUAGUUUUUCAUCGAAAUAAAGAAAACUUACAGCGGUACUUAAACGAGCUAGAAAUGUAUGGACGACUCAAUCAUGCGUUUUGCAUUACAGGAAGGCUGUACGAGGAGGACGUUGCUCUCAUUCCCUAUGGUGUUAUUCAGAACUUAUUAGAAUCAUUGGCAUUGGUCAGUUCUAUACCAUGUAUAGUCGAAGUCACUAAUUUUCUGGAAGAUCUUUAAUUUGAUAACGCUUACAUGAUACUUAAUCAAUAUUUUAGCUAUAUGGCCGUUUACGCAAUAUUACGACCUAAAAAAGGCACCUCUAAAAGAAAGAUUUAAAAACCCAUAUUCACAUCAUUGUGAAUCGAAAUAUGAACCUCAAACUAAGUUUGCCAAGGGACCGACUGGAUACCCCAGAACUGCCCAUACAUGCAUAUGCAGAAAAUGUAUACACUCUAUAAAGGAUGGGUUCACGUUUGUCUUUGAUAUAUAUCCAGGGAGCAAAUUGCGGGGGGAAAUUUUAAUAUUGAAGUGGCAAAGGACAGUUGACAUGAAGAUGUCAAUCCAUCCACUAUUUCAAUUAAGAGUUCGGAUAGGUAUGAACUAUCAAAAUAUGUUCAAGCCUGGAAUUUGUGAAAGUCACCCAGACAAUAAAGCAUGUCCUGAGCAUAUAAGCUCCUGGGUGACCGUCGCCGUUAGUUUGUCGUUUAACCGACGAAGAGCUGUGGUUUAUUGGAAGAGCUAUGAAAGUAAUCGGAUCUUUAUACUUACAUAUCACCCAGUAACAGAAAUGUCGAGAUAUUUCAGGCCUGCUGCAAAAAUUCUCAAUAGACCUGGUACAACAUUAAUAAAAUUUACUGCAGGAUGUCGCAGAGGAACACUCAUUGCCUGUUUUAGCGUCUUCUCUAAGUUCAUAUCCUACAGAGUAUUUGGUCGGUUCAGAAAUGGUUGUCCCUGGAAACCAACGGAUGCACUAGUGAAUCACGUGAAGCCCCAAAAUGCAGAUGCCGAUUGCUCAUCCUCGACACUAGGGACAAACCACGUCAACAACCAUGUUUUCCAUUCUCGUUGGAGACGCCGCAUUGGCUGCAUUGCAUAACACGAUUGUUGGACCUGGAUUUACAGGAAAGUCCCUAACUAUUACGAUAUCCCUUCAACGACCGAUUACGUAGUUAUUAGCGCUAAAAAAUCAGACUGGCUGUGAACAAUUGAACUAAUCCAUCAAAAUAACCCCAAUAAUCUGAAAUCUGACAGGUUAUAGCAACAAAGCCGACUACGCUAACAUUAUGUUCUAUUAGCAUCACACACUCUCUUAAACAUGUUUAAGGUUUGGAUUCACACACAGCUAGCACUUUUGACAAGCGGCGAUCCACUCAACUCAUGCUUUUUGCACACCAUUUACAUUACAUGCAAAUCCACCGGACCUCUACAACGACAUAGAAUUGUAUCAGCGAUGUCGAUUUGAUCGGCAAACAAUUAAUCCGACUGCUCGAUUUCCCGAUAUCAUCGGUGUGGUUCAUGGAACACAUAUUUGGAUACUACGACCUUCGUUUCACGAGUGGAGAUAAUAUGUAACAGGAGAAGACUCGUAUUCCAUCAAUGUCGACGUUUUUUUCAAUGCAAAUUUUAGGUUUAUCAAUGUUGUGAUUAGAUGGCCCACUAGCACCCAUAACCCCGUUGUGCUCAGAGAGAGCGCAGAAAUCGAUAUCAUGAGAUCUUGGGAAGGGGAUGAGAUCAUCCUUGGUGACCGUGGGUAUCCAUUGCGGCCUUGGCUGAUGAUACCAUUUUUGAACCCUAAGACCCCCGGGCAACGACGGUACAUUCGGUCUCACAGGAAAACUCCGUGUUUAGUUGAACGGAGCACCGGAAGGCGAUGCAGUCAUUCUUGAUGACAGUGGUGAUCCAUUGCCACCUUGACUGAUGACACCAUUCUUGAACCCUCACACACCCGGGCAAAGACGGUACAAUCGGUAUCACUACAAAACUCGGUGUUUGGUUGAACGGGACAUCGGCCAAGGGAAAAGGCGAUUCCACUGCCUGCAUGGAUAUAUGCGUUAAGCACCGGUGAAAGCCAGUGCAAUUAUUACUACGAGUGCAAUGUUGCACAACAUUGCUAUCAACAGAGCUCUUUCGGAUUUUGAUCCAGUAGACAAAGAGGAUAUCAAACAUCGGCCACAACCCGAUGAUGAUAGGAACGAUGAAGAGAAUGUCGUACCAUUUGGAGAUGCAAAUGCAACUGCCACAAGAAAUCACAUUGUCCAGCAACAUUUCUGAGGCACGUGUGUCUCUUCCUAUUCAAUAUAGCUGCUCUGGUGUACAGAAAUUGCUUUGUAAUUUGCACAUUUGAAUGCCAACGAUCAAUGAAUAUCGAAUUAAUUCAUAGGCACAAAUCAACAAGAAAUAUGAGACUGGUCUUUUGAAGAAAGAUUAUUGGUGCACUCAAACUUAAGUGGUCAACCUGGUUGAGUAUUUUAUGAAUCCCAUUUUAGGUGGGGCGGGAACUUAGGGAAGAUGACCACUUAGGGUUUUAUGGCACUUCAGUUAAAAACAGUAAUUUAUGAAUAGGGCCAUGUUGUUGAAUAAACACUGAUGUUCACACCAGUGUUAAGAACUGGUGUCAGCAGCUGCCGUGGUGUUUGGGGCUCUGAGAAGACACCAACACUGACAGCCAACACUAACACUAACACCACUGAACACCAACUUUGAAAUCACCCGUCAAUGUACAUGUAUUCUCCGAUGAGUGCACCGCACCAUGAUAUCGCAAUAAAAAAAAAAUAUUGUCAGCAAUAAUCUACUGCUGCAUCGGACAUUGCAUGAUACAAGGUGAUAAAUUGACAUCCGUAAUCUGGACAGGUCAUGGUCAACAUCAAAAAUUUUAUUGACGACCUUCCCCGCAAAAUUGGUAAGACAAGACGGCGCACUCCGGUCGACAUAUUCAAUGAAUUGAAAUAUCUAUUUCAGGUAAUACGUAUGUGACGUUUUUCACCAAAAUAUCGGCAGCAAACACAAGUAGUUUUCGCAGGAAUUCGAAUAUUACAUUUUCAGCAAGAUCAGCAAUUACUUGUGUUACAAUUUGUAUC
This is a long non-coding RNA of Lineus longissimus, 3702 nucleotides long. RefSeq lists it as uncharacterized. The record is from RefSeq and is a predicted model, not a curated record. The transcript has 2 exons. NCBI's taxonomy places the organism in Eukaryota, Metazoa, Nemertea, Pilidiophora, Heteronemertea, Lineidae.